UAAGAGUUUGAUCGUGGCUCAGGGUGAACGCUGGCGAUGUGCCUAAGACAUGCAAGUCGAACGAGAUUUGUGUGUAGCACGAGACGUUUCAAUCCAUUUCUCCAUCAAUUAUUUUUCCUUAAGUAUUUUUAUUUUGAAUCUGAAAAUUGUAAUUUGUUUGGAUUUUUGUAAUUUGGUCUUUGGAAUUUCUCGUGCUAUACACGAGUUUAGUGGCAAACGGGUGAGUAUAAGAUACGAACGUACUCCAAAGCGGAGCAUAGUCCACCGAAAGGUGGGGUAAUUCUCCAUAGUCCCUCCGGGGUAAAGAUGCAAAUCACUUUGGAAGCGGCGUAUCUACUACCAGCUAGUUGGUGAGGUAAUGGCUCACCAAGGCUAUGACGGUUAACGGCUCUUAGCGGAGAGUCCGUCACAAUGGGACUGAGACACGGCCCAUACACCUACGGGUGGCAGCAGUUAGGAAUUUUGCGCAAUGGACGAAAGUCUGACNNUGGGCGUAAAGAGUCUGUAGGUGGUUUUCUAAGUCUUGUUUCAAAGACUCCGGCUCAACCGGAGAAAGGGGCAGGAUACUGGAAGACUAGAGUUGUAUCGGAGUGACUGGAAUUUGUAGUGUAGGGGUAAAAUCCGUGGAUACUACAAAGAACACCAAGAGCGAAGGCGGGUCACUAGAUACCAACUGACACUCAGAGACGAAAGCUAGGGUAGCAAAUCAGAUUAGAGACCUGAGUAGUCCUAGCCGUAAACGUUGCCUGUUAGUUCUGUGGAUUUAUCUGCGGGAUGUAAGCUAACGCGUUAAACAGGCCGCCNNUGCAUGGUUGUCGUCAGCUCGUGUUUUGAAAUGUUCCCUUAAGUGGGGUAACGAGCGCAACCCCUAUCACGUGUUACAAGUGUCACGUGAAACUGCCCCUCACAGAGUUCAGGAAUAUUGCUAACGUAAAGCAACUUUAUAUUUUGCUAUAUGUUACAUGUUUCAUGAUUCGUGAAUUCCGUGAGGGGAGGAAGGAGGGGACGACGUCAAGUCAGCAUGAUGCUUAUAUCCAGGGCUACACACAUCCUACAAUGGGUGGUACAGAGGGUCGCAAUACCGCGAGGUGGAGCCAAUCCUUAAAACCUCUCUCAGUUGGGAUUGCAGGCUGAAACUCGCCUGCAUGAACUUGGAAUUGGUAGUAAUCGCAAAUCAGCAGAUUGCGGUGAAUACGUUCUCGCCUCUUGCACACACUGCCCGUCAAAUCAGCAAAGUUGAGGGCACCUGAAGCUUUACAGAGUUUUGUAGAACCAAGGUGAAUUCAGCGAUGAGGGUUAAGUCGUAACAAGGUAUCCGUACUGGAAGGUGCGGAUGGAUCACCUCCUUU
RNAcentral lists this ribosomal RNA (1349 nucleotides) under Candidatus Shapirobacteria bacterium. RNAcentral's name for it is "bacterial SSU rRNA". It matches the Rfam family "Bacterial small subunit ribosomal RNA". The record is from RNAcentral. Lineage: Bacteria; Candidatus Shapironibacteriota.